UCUAUUGUGAUAUCUCUUUUCUUGCUCCCCCAUAUUCUUCCCCUGACUCAAUCUUCCUGCUCUCAUUUUUUCACUGACCUGGUGAGGCAGCAUCGGGGGGGAGGUGAGCCCCAAGGGAUUCUUACUUCUGGUGCCAAGUGCGGGCAGGUGCAACCCACUCUGGGGACAGUGCCAGGUAGGGAGUUUGACUGGGGUGGUAUACCUGUCAAAUGGUAACACGGGUGUCCUAAAGGAGCUCAGGGAGGACAGAAACCUCCCAUGGAUCAGAAGAGCAAAAGCUGGCUAGAUCUUGAUUUUUCAGUAUGAAUACAGAAAAUGAAAGCAGGGCCUCACGAUCCUUCUGACCUUUUGGGUGUUAAGCAGGAGGUUUCAGAAAAGUUAUCACAGGCAUAACUGGCUUGUGGCAGCCAAGCGUUCAUAGUACACACAUAUUUAUAAUG
Molecule: non-coding RNA, 440 nt
Filed under: Cricetulus griseus (Chinese hamster)
Lineage: Eukaryota; Metazoa; Chordata; Mammalia; Rodentia; Cricetidae
Description: Eukaryotic large subunit ribosomal RNA
Rfam family: Eukaryotic large subunit ribosomal RNA
Source: Rfam by way of RNAcentral